Molecule: transfer RNA, 73 nt
Filed under: Methylacidimicrobium sp. AP8
Lineage: Bacteria; Pseudomonadati; Verrucomicrobiota
Description: tRNA-Met
Rfam family: tRNA
About the family: Transfer RNA (tRNA) molecules are approximately 80 nucleotides in length.
Source: RNAcentral
GGGUCUGUAGCUCAAUAGGUAGAGCAGGGGACUCAUAAUCCCUUGGAUGCGGGUUCGACUCCCGCCGGACCCA